GAUGAGCGCUGGCUACAGGCUUAACACAUGCAAGUCGAGGGGAAACGGCAUUGAGUGCUUGCACUGAAUGGACGUCGACCGGCGCACGGGUGAGUAACGCGUAUCCAACCUUCCCGUUACUGCGGGAUAACCUGCCGAAAGGCAGACUAAUACCGCAUGUUCUUCGAUGACGGCAUCAGAUUCGAAGCAAAGAUCCGUCGGUAACGGAGGGGGAUGCGUCUGAUUAGCUAGUUGGCGGGGCGACGGCCCACCAAGGCGACGAUCAGUAGGGGUUCUGAGAGGAAGGUCCCCCACAUUGGAACUGAGACACGGUCCAAACUCCUACGGGAGGCAGCAGUGAGGAAUAUUGGUCAAUGGGCGGAAGCCUGAACCAGCCAAGUAGCGUGCAGGAUGACGGCCCUACGGGUUGUAAACUGCUUUUAUGCGGGGAUAAAGUGAGGGACGCGUCCCUUUUUGCAGGUACCGCAUGAAUAAGGACCGGCUAAUUCCGUG
This 492-nucleotide ribosomal RNA is filed under the name uncultured bacterium. Its description in RNAcentral is "partial 16S ribosomal RNA". It matches the Rfam family "Bacterial small subunit ribosomal RNA", at positions 28 to 507 of the family's 1533-position model. The record is from RNAcentral.